AAAAAAGGAUACUCUUAGGGAAUUUCCUUCAUCCUUUGGAUUGCCUUCCUUUACAGUGGUUUGGGAAAAGCCGCUAUAUUUUCAUGGUGAAAAGUGUGCGGUUCGAUCAACAAAAACGCACGCAGGGGUGUCCGAUUCCGUACGACGGGGCUUCGCAAACAAUCUCCUCCCCUCAUAACGUGAUAAUCACGGCUUUUCCUCAUGAAAAGCAACCGUCGGUGAGAAAUGUAUCAGAAGUGAUUAAAAUAGCUCACGGCACUAACAUGGCUUCCUCCAUCACAAACGAGCAAGCGCGGCUGUUGUGUGCGCGCCUCCCCCCGCUCUGUCCGGAUGGUUCAGUCCAUAUUGUAAGUAGCAAUUCUAGGUCAGGUUGACUUGCCGCCGUCGAGCACCACUGACUGACUGCUGGAGAUCAAUGUGAGGGGACGGUGCUCCGAAACUCCCGCAAUGAUUUACCAGAUCAGAUGCAGGGUGAAAGUUGUAGCACUGGAGAUCGUUUCCGAAACACACAAGCAUUAUGUUCGAGCAGCACACCCUCUCAGUGAGGGAACAGGCUAAAAAUAUCCCGCACACUUACAAGAAAGCUUUUUCCUUUUUGGAGCAUGUCCCCUUUUCAUUGAAUGGAAAAUAGCAGCUCUGCUAAGCAUCAUAAGAAGAAAGGAAUAAGACAUUGCGGUUCGGACCAACAUGAAGGUUCCUGACUAAGGGAUGGCUGAGGAUCCAAGCUGUGGGCACAGAAGUUGUGUAUCCAGGAACAGAGAAUCAUUACCGUAAUUUUAGUGCUAUUCUGUCAUCAUUGUUUCCUUGAGCGUGACACCUCCUCAUGUUCUGCCCCGGGUUGUUCUGGAGGGUUUUUCCCUGCA
Paramisgurnus dabryanus is the source of this 863-nucleotide long non-coding RNA. RefSeq lists it as uncharacterized. The record is from RefSeq and is a predicted model, not a curated record. NCBI's taxonomy places the organism in Eukaryota, Metazoa, Chordata, Actinopteri, Cypriniformes, Cobitidae.